CAAAAUGCUCUAGCAAGAGGCAGAACGGAAGUAAAGGAAGUGUGCCGGGGAUCAAGACGUAGAAAGCACUCCUGACGUCUCGCCAAACGCAGAGCCUUCUAGCCCCGCGCUCCCUCAGCUGUACCACCAUCUAGCUUCUUCUCUGCGUUGCUAGGAGAACAGCCUUCUUCUAAGUUGCUUGGUGCUCGGCAGGUGAGGCAUCUCACUCACACUUACUUCUGACUCUCUGUCUGUCUGGGUCACUGGAAGCUUACGAGCACGUGAGAUGAAGCCCUGGGUGAACAGUGGUGCUAGGAGACCAGGAGAGGGGUGAAGAGCCGCCUCAGACAAUACUCCUGGACCUGGGCUGAAACAGGGAGCAGGGAUGACUGCAAACAAGAGGCUGAAAACAGCCGGCAGCAUUCAGUGCCACCCAAACCCAGAGCAGCAAGACUGCCGGAGAUUUCAGCCAAUUGGUUCAGAAAGGCAGACAUUAGAGAGUCAAGACUGGAAAGGGAGGAACAAGAAUGUGGAGAGUGGAGAAGACACCAAUGGCAUCGCAUAGCGGUUCUGACUCUCAUCUUCACAGCAGACCCAGAAGCAGUUGAGGAAAGGGACGUGGAGAAGUUGGAAAGUGCCACCACCGCCGCCCUCCAGCCUCACCCAUAUCCCAACUUGUCUUGAGCUCAAGACGGGGCUUCGGACCCUUUGUUCGCUCCAAGGACUCUCGGCUCUCUCAUGGGCAUGAAGUCCAGACCCACGACCCCACCUCUUCCCGCUUCUCUUGUGGUUGCUGACUCUGACUUCAGAACUCUUUUUGGCCUUCCUUAACCAGAGAUGGUGCUGACCCUGUCCUUGAAGGAGACACCCUCAGCAGCAGAAGGUGAAGAGGCUUCAGUGUGGCUGUAAUGAUGAACGGAAGGACAAGUCCCAGGAGCCAAUGUAGUGACACUGUGUUCUCCAAAAUAUUGUGCACCCUAAUAAAUUUA
Molecule: long non-coding RNA, 968 nt
Organism: Onychomys torridus (southern grasshopper mouse)
Lineage: Eukaryota; Metazoa; Chordata; Mammalia; Rodentia; Cricetidae
Exons: 4
Source: RefSeq, a predicted model, not a curated record